CCUACGGGAGGCAGCAGUGGGGAAUUUUGCGCAAUGCUCGUAAGAGUGACGCAGCGACGCCGCGUGAAUGACGAAGGCCUUCGGGUCGUAAAGUUCUUUCGGCAGGGAAGAAAAUGCCUGUAAGUAACGGUGGAUGUAUUGACGGUACAUGUAUCAGCAGCCCCGGCUAACUCCGUGCCAGCAGCCGCGGUAAUACGGAGGGGGCGAGCGUUGUUCGGAGUGACUGGGCGUAAAGAGCUCGUAGGCGGUGUUUUAAGUCAUUAGUUAAAGACUAGAGCUCAACUUCAGUAAGGCUAGUGAUACUAUAGUACUAGAGUAUCAGAGAGGAAUGCAGAAUGCAUGGUGUAGCGGUGAAAUGCGUAGAUAUCAGGAAGAACCCCGAUAGCGAAGGCAGCAAUCUGGCUGAAAACUGACGCUGAGGUGCGAAAGCGUGGGUAGCAAACAGGAUUAGAUACCCGUGUAGUC
Molecule: ribosomal RNA, 465 nt
Filed under: uncultured bacterium
Lineage: Bacteria
Description: partial 16S ribosomal RNA
Rfam family: Bacterial small subunit ribosomal RNA
Source: RNAcentral